RNAcentral lists this ribosomal RNA (161 nucleotides) under Grammosciadium cornutum. RNAcentral's name for it is "5.8S ribosomal RNA". It matches the Rfam family "5.8S ribosomal RNA". From Rfam's summary of the family: 5.8S ribosomal RNA (5.8S rRNA) is a component of the large subunit of the eukaryotic ribosome. It is transcribed by RNA polymerase I as part of the 45S precursor that also contains 18S and 28S rRNA. Functionally, it is thought that 5.8S rRNA may be involved in ribosome translocation. The record is from RNAcentral. Lineage: Eukaryota; Viridiplantae; Streptophyta; Magnoliopsida; Apiales; Apiaceae.
ACGACUCUCGACAACGGAUAUCUCGGCUCUCGCAUCGAUGAAAAACGUAGCGAAAUGCGAUACUUGGUGUGAAUUGCAGAAUCCCGUGAACCAUCGAGUCUUUGAACGCAAGUUGCGCCCGAAACCAUUAGGUUGAGGGCACGUCUGCCUGGGUGUCACGU